UGGAAUUUAAAAAACUAUGAUAUAUUAUAUUUCACUUUCAAAGUUAAGCACAACACCUAAAACAUAUUAUAACAUUUAGACUCAAAUAUUUGGAUACAUGCAUUAUUGUCGAGCUAUGGUGGCUCGUACACUUUUUAUGGUGGAAUAAGUGGCCCAUUCCAAGCUACCACACAAGAUUAAUCCGUUAAAACACCUUUUGUCCCAGGUAAAGGCCCCCAGACUAGGAUCUCAUAUUACUCUCACCACAUGACCCCUCUCUACUUCAGAAUUGAUGACUCCUCUCUACUUGAGAAUUGAUGACCCCUCUCUACUUGAGAAUUGAUGACCAUUAGAGUGUCAGAACAACCCCGAAAACCGAGCUCUUACAAUAAUACAUACAGUACUUGAAACAACCAUCAAGAAAUUCACAUUAGAAACUUUUUUCAAACUAUACUUACAAACAUACAUAAUUUCAUGCAUAAACUGCAUCACAAAUAAAGGGUUAGGAGUGCUCAUAUUUCAACUACCUCCAUGGACUCCACUGACUCGAGAUCUUGUACUAUUCUCUGCAUCCUUUUCUCUGUAUCAUUCAGUUUCAUGGACUUGUUCAAUGAGCAUGGGAUGGAUCUCUACAUCCUCCACCAUCACGGAUCAUGGCGCUUCCAUCACCAACCUUGGAACCAAACACCAAAACGCUAACCCAGGUUGCAUCCUCUAGAUUUGUCACAUAUAAUGGGGGGUCCACCACCAACCUUUCAACCUUCAGCUUCGUCACACAUCAUGGCGCUAUAACCACGAAGCUUGCAACCCAAAUGGCUCCAAAGGAACCAAAUACACCCACUCUAGAACCAAAUACAAUGUCCAACGUGGAGACCAAACUGCCAUGGAACUGAAUGCAAUGCCUGGGAACCAAAUACACCUAUUGUGAAUAAUGGCGAACCGAAUACAAGUUCCUGUGUUUUUCUUCCUACGCCUGGAACCGAAUACGGAUUCUAUGGAACCGAAUACACCUGGAAAAAUUUUGAUUGUUCUUCAUCUUCUUCAGCUUCAAACACUCGUGUUCAUCUUCAACCACUUUCUUCUUCAUCUUCAUAUGACCAUCAACCUCAUCUUCUUCAUCUAUCAUCAACCCUACAACGUAAAAAACAACAAAAACUUGGCUAAAGAACAUUACUCUCAUAUUAACCUCACCUCAACUUUCUAUAAUUCCCCAAUGUAUCAUUAUAUUAACUCAUUCUUCUGCCUCAAUUAAGACAACAACCAACCAC
RNAcentral lists this long non-coding RNA (1247 nucleotides) under Vigna radiata. RNAcentral describes it as "long non-coding RNA (VRAD_LNC010526)". The record is from RNAcentral. Lineage: Eukaryota; Viridiplantae; Streptophyta; Magnoliopsida; Fabales; Fabaceae.